CAUUUCCAAUUGAUGAUCCGACGGCUCGGUGCUUGACGACGGAAAGGACAUUGUAAGCGAAACCGAGUAAGGUUGAGCGUGGAGGACUUCGUAUCAUACAGUCCCAGCAGCAGCGGUAAUACUAUAGAAAUGCCGAGUGUUAUCCAUACCAGGCAUU
This 157-nucleotide ribosomal RNA is filed under the name Hematodinium sp. RNAcentral's name for it is "partial small subunit ribosomal RNA". Lineage: Eukaryota; Dinophyceae; Syndiniales; Syndiniaceae. The record is from RNAcentral.